AUACUUACCUGGCAGGGCGAAGCUCUGCCAUUGCACUUUGAUGGUGAUGAAUUCCAUUGUAAAUUCCCCAAAUGCGGGAAUCUCAACUGCAUAAUUUCUGGUAGUGGGGGACUGCGUUCGCACUCUCCCCUG
Molecule: small nuclear RNA, 132 nt
Organism: Pygocentrus nattereri (red-bellied piranha)
Lineage: Eukaryota; Metazoa; Chordata; Actinopteri; Characiformes; Serrasalmidae
Gene: U1
Rfam family: U1 spliceosomal RNA
About the family: U1 is a small nuclear RNA (snRNA) component of the spliceosome (involved in pre-mRNA splicing). Its 5' end forms complementary base pairs with the 5' splice junction, thus defining the 5' donor site of an intron.
Source: Ensembl